AAUGAACGUUGGCGGCGUGGAUUAGGCAUGCCAGUCGAGCGAGAACCCCGCAAGGGGGGACAGCGGCGAAAGGGACAGUAAUGUGUAGAUUAUCUGCCCUCAGGUCCGGGAUAGCUGCGGGAAACUGCAGGUAAUACCGGAUAACAUCUCCGGAUCAAAGGUGUGAUUCCGCCUGAGGAUGAGUCUGCAUCCUAUUAGCUAGUUGGUGGGGUAAUGGCCUACCAAGGCAUUGAUGGGUAGCAGGUGUGAGAGCACGACCUGCGUCAUUGGGACUGAGACACUGCCCAGACACCUACGGGUGGCUGCAGUCGAGAAUCUUCGGCAAUGGGCGCAAGCCUGACCGAGCGACGCCGCGUGUGGGAUGAAGGCCUUCGGGUUGUAAACCACUGUCAGAGGGGAUGAAAUGCAGGUGGGUUCUCCCAUCUGUUUGACAUAGCCUCAGAGGAAGGACGGGCUAAGUUCGUG
This 465-nucleotide ribosomal RNA is filed under the name uncultured bacterium. Its description in RNAcentral is "partial 16S ribosomal RNA". It matches the Rfam family "Bacterial small subunit ribosomal RNA", at positions 29 to 507 of the family's 1533-position model. The record is from RNAcentral.